This 253-nucleotide ribosomal RNA is filed under the name uncultured bacterium. RNAcentral describes it as "partial 16S ribosomal RNA". It matches the Rfam family "Bacterial small subunit ribosomal RNA", at positions 524 to 776 of the family's 1533-position model. The record is from RNAcentral.
UACGUAGGGUGCGAGCGUUGUCCGGAAUUACUGGGCGUAAAGAGCUCGUAGGUGGUUUGUCGCGUUGUUCGUGAAAUCUCACGGCUUAACUGUGAGCGUGCGGGCGAUACGGGCAGACUAGAGUACUGCAGGGGAGACUGGAAUUCCUGGUGUAGCGGUGGAAUGCGCAGAUAUCAGGAGGAACACCGGUGGCGAAGGCGGGUCUCUGGGCCGUAACUGACGCCGAGGAGCGAAAGCGUGGGGAGCGAACAGG